This 56-nucleotide transfer RNA is filed under the name Bahadzia jaraguensis. Its description in RNAcentral is "transfer RNA Glutamine". Lineage: Eukaryota; Metazoa; Arthropoda; Malacostraca; Amphipoda; Hadziidae. The record is from RNAcentral.
UUUACUUUGGUGUAACAAGCACGUAGAAUUUUGGUAUCUAAGGUUGAAAAGUGGUC